Molecule: ribosomal RNA, 315 nt
Filed under: uncultured eukaryote
Lineage: Eukaryota
Description: partial 18S ribosomal RNA
Rfam family: Eukaryotic small subunit ribosomal RNA
Source: RNAcentral
CCCUUAGACGUUCUGGGCCGCACGCGCGCUACACUGACCAGUGCAACAAGCAUCCGUCCUUGGCCGACAGGCCCGGGCAAUCUUUGAACGCUGUUCGUGAUUGGGAUAGACCUUUGCAAUUAUGGGUCUUCAACGAGGAAUUCCUAGUAAACGCAAGUCAUCAACUUGCAUUGAUUACGUCCCUGCCCUUUGUACACACCGCCCGUCGCACCUACCGAUUGAAUGGUCCGGUGAAGCCUCCGGAUUGGCGCGCACCCCGGUGCCGCCGAGAAGUUGGCUAAACCUUACCAUUUAGAGGAAGGUGAAGUCGUAACA